Molecule: unclassified non-coding RNA, 1394 nt
Filed under: uncultured Neocallimastigales
Lineage: Eukaryota; Fungi; Neocallimastigomycota; Neocallimastigomycetes; Neocallimastigales
Description: partial contains small subunit ribosomal RNA, internal transcribed spacer 1, 5.8S ribosomal RNA, internal transcribed spacer 2, and large subunit ribosomal RNA
Rfam family: Eukaryotic large subunit ribosomal RNA (bases 640-1394)
Source: RNAcentral
UUUCCGUAGGUGAACCUGCGGAAGGAUCAUUAAAAAAUGAGACCUCUUUGAAGGUCUACUAAUAAUCCUACCCUUUGUGAAUUUGUUGUUUGAAAUAAUUUUUUUCUAAAAAAUUAUUGAAUGUCUUUCCCUGUUUUGAUGGAGCUGUAAUAGCAAAGUCAAUCAGGGGAAUGGCAAACGAUAAUUUUUUUUGAAAAGACCUUUUUUUAAAAUUAAACUUUUUGUAUUCAUUUGUCUAAAAUUAUUUUUAUAAUAUAAAAACAACUUUUGACAAUGGAUCUCUUGGUUCUCGCAACGAUGAAGAACGCAGCAAAAUGCGAUAAGUAGUGUGAAUUGCAGAAUACGUGAAUCAUCGAAUCUUCGAACGCAUAUUGCACUUUUUUAGUUUACUAAAAAAGUAUGUCUGUUUGAGUAUCAGUAAAAUAUUCUCAUAAAAACUAUUUGUUUUUAUGGUUAUGAGUGUUUUACGACGAUACAAGUUGUUUCACUUUAAAUUCUUUGUCUUUUAAAAAAUCAUUAAAAACUGAUUUUUUUUAAAAUUGGAUAAAAUUUUCCCGUAAAAAGGAAUAACCUAAACAAUUUUAAAUUAAAUUGGUUUGAUUUCUUUUAAGAUUAAAGGAAAAAAAGUAAAAAUUAACUUGAUCUCAAAUCAGAUAAGAGUACCCGCUGAACUUAAGCAUAUCAAUAAGCGGAGGAAAGAAACUAACUAGGAUUCCCUCAGUAACGGCGAGUGAAGCGGGAAGAGCUCAAAUUUGAAAUCUUCAAGGUUCUACCUUGACGAAUUGUAGUUUAAAGAAGUGUUUUCUGUUGGAGUUUUGGUAAAAGUUCUUUGGAAUAGGACAUCAUAGAGGGUGAGAAUCCCGUAUUUGACCAUUAUUUCCAACUUUGUGAUACACUUUCAAAGAGUCGGAUUGUUUGGGAAUGCAGUCCAAAAUGGGUGGUAAAUUUCAUCUAAAGCUAAAUACUGGCGAGAGACCGAUAGCGAACAAGUACCGUGAGGGAAAGAUGAAAAGAACUUUGAAAAGAGAGUUAAACAGUACGUGAAAUUGUCAAAAGGGAAGCGUUUGACACCAGUGUUGUUUUCUCGAAAUCAAUUAAAAAUGGUGGGAUUUUGUGUUGUAUUGACUUUAUCAGCUUUCUGCACUUUUUUCCUGUCUUUUUUAAUGCACUUUUCGAUUAACAAGUCAACAUCAAUUUCUUUUGUUGUAAAAGGGUCAUUGGAAGGUGGCUUUCUUUUCGGAGAAAGUGUUUAUAGCCUUUGACUUCUGCAAUCGGAGAGAUUGAGGUCUGCAGCGUAGAUCCUUCGGGUUAGAUGCAUUUGUGCUAAGCUAUAGCCUUUCAUAGACAACUUGUUGACUAUGAUCAGUCAUGUAGCUUACUCGCUUAUGUCAUUU